This is a long non-coding RNA of Cornus florida, 880 nucleotides long. RefSeq lists it as uncharacterized. The transcript is spliced from 3 exons. NCBI's taxonomy places the organism in Eukaryota, Viridiplantae, Streptophyta, Magnoliopsida, Cornales, Cornaceae. The record is from RefSeq and is a predicted model, not a curated record.
AACUCAGUGAGUUAAAUAACCAUUUGAAGAUGUCUAUGGACAAAUUGUGGUGGUUUUAUAAAUUAAUGAUACGGUGGUCCAUUUAGAGGGGUAGUUUAAGUAUAAAGAGAUGUUUAAUUGUAAUUUGACACGAAUAAAUAAUUAUUAUAUAAAUAUAUUUUAACUACCUUCUCAAUUUUAGACCACCGCAUUUCCUACUGUAGUUUGAUUUUGAAAUAUUUUUUUUCAAAAAUAUUUCAACCAUUUUCGUUAUGUCAACUCAACCAAUAUAUAGAUAAACAUCAACAAAAAUGUGAUGUUACAAACUAUGGUGAAAAUAAGAUCACUAUGAUGGAGAAGUUGCAUACCAAAAUUGUUGAUGUGAGUUAUAUAAAUUUGGUUGAAAACUCAGAAAUGCAGCAUGUAUGGACAACGUCAUCAAGUUGUGGCGAUUUUAUAAAUUAAUAAUAAGAUGGUCCAUUUAGAGUGUCUUAAUAAUAAUCACCUACUCAUUCGCAUAGUCACUCAACAACCAAAGCCCAAUUUACCAGACCGAUGCUCAGCUCAAGUCUGACGACCUCAAGGACCAAUUGAAACUCCAGAGCAAAGGUAUAUAUGAAGGUGAAAACCUGAUACCACCUUUUCUUUCAAGGAUGAAGAUUUGUUAAGGUCUCCAUUUGCAAGUUGAACCCCCAGAUUGCUUUCAUGAGGGGUGCGAUGAAGAUUAAGGGCAGUCUCAGCGUGCCUUAAAAAUUUACUCCUGACAUUUUCCCCAAGCCUUAAAAAAUGUGAGAGUACACAAAACCAAUGAUUUAUGUGGGAGGGUGAUUUACCAUACAGUUAUUUCAAUUUUCCAUGAAGUUACGAUUUUGUAGAGUGAUACUAUUUCACACCCAUUUUG